Molecule: long non-coding RNA, 898 nt
Filed under: Theobroma cacao (cacao)
Lineage: Eukaryota; Viridiplantae; Streptophyta; Magnoliopsida; Malvales; Malvaceae
Description: long non-coding RNA (TCAC_LNC004917)
Source: RNAcentral
UAAAAUAUAGCAAUUUACCAUUUAAACCCAUUUUCUAUAAAAUCACACAAUUGAAUAAAACUACUCUAGAUAAUUAAGACGAUAAUAAGUUUACUCACAAGUUUCAAAAGUUCAGAUUUCGGGUGUACUCAACUUAGUGAUCCCCAAGCGUAAUUUCCUUGCCUUUGUCGAAAGGCACACCACCUUGACACAGUAUAAAAUCAAGAAAUUUACUACGUUGCCCUUAAAUUGAAAUAACUAAUUUAGAUCACUAAUGCAUGGUAUGAAAUGCAAAAGGUCUAAAUUUUGCCUAAACAUCGUAUUGACCUAUUUCGAUCUUUUACCCGAUAAAUUGAAAUACGCAUCCAAUUUACCUCCAAUUGAUCCCAUUUCUUUUACUAAUGCUUCAAAUCACCAAUGUCCAGCCAAAUAACCCAAAAAUCAGCAAAGCCACAUUCAUAUUCCUUCUUGGAAAAAUUCGGCCAAAAUGGUGCAUCAUUGUCACAAUUUUUCCUACUUGAUUUUCUUUCCAUAAUUCAUUAAUUUCCAUAUCAAAAACCAUGAUUUCAUAAUCAAAUAACCUAAAAUAACAUCACAUUCUUCCUCACCAUUGACUUGAAAAUUCAGCUAAGGCUAGGUGAUGGGAAAAAUGAAUGUUUUUCUACAUAUUUUGUUUACUAACAUGCUAAACUGACACUAAACACUAACAUAUAUCAAAAUCAAAUCAAUCCAACAAUUUUUUCUCUCUAGACCCAUAUGACCAGCCAUGAAAUCACCAUGAAAACAUGCAAUUUAAUCAUGGAAAAUAAGGAGAAAUGCUUGGGAAUAAGAAAACUCAAGCUUAAUAGAAAAAAUCUUACCUUUUUCACUUAAUUUCCUUGAAAUUUUACACUUUUUCUUUGAUUUUCUCUCUCUAGGG